GUGGCCAGGGCUGGAUUCCCAGGUGGAUUCCCAGGUGGAUUUCCAGGUGGUCAGGGUGGAUUUCCAGGUGGAUUCCCAGGUGGAUUUCCAGGUGGUCAGGGAUGGAUUUCCAGGUGGAUUCCCAGGUGGCCAGGGGUGGAUUCCCAGGUGGAUUCCCAGGUGGCCAGGGGUGGAUUUCCAGGUGGAUUCCCAGGUGGAUUCCCAGGUGGCCAGGGGUGGAUUUCCAGGUGGAUUCCCAGGUGGAUUUCCAGGUGUGCAUUCCCAGGUGGCCACAAAGCCCCCCUGGUGGU
Serinus canaria (Common canary) is the source of this 290-nucleotide long non-coding RNA. RefSeq lists it as uncharacterized. The record is from RefSeq and is a predicted model, not a curated record. NCBI's taxonomy places the organism in Eukaryota, Metazoa, Chordata, Aves, Passeriformes, Fringillidae. The transcript has 3 exons.